GAUGAAGAACGUAGCGAAAUGCGAUAAGUAAUGUGAAUUGCAGAAUUCAGUGAAUCAUCGAAUCUUUGAACGCACAUUGCGCCCGUCAGUAUUCUGGCGGGCAUGCCUGUGCGAGCGUCAUUACGCCCCUCAAGUCCCCUGUGGACUUGGUGUUGGGGAUCGGCGAGGCUGGUUUUCCAGCACAGCCGUCCCUUAAAUUAAUUGGCGGUCUCGCCGUGGCCCUCCUCUGCGCAGUAGUAAAACACUCGCAACAGGAGCCCGGCGCGGUCCACUGCCGUAAAACCCCCCAACUUUUUAUAGUUGACCUCGAAUCAGGUAGGACUACCCGCUGAACUUAAGCAUAUCAAUAAGCGGAGGA
RNAcentral lists this unclassified non-coding RNA (358 nucleotides) under soil metagenome. RNAcentral's name for it is "partial contains 5.8S ribosomal RNA, internal transcribed spacer 2, and large subunit ribosomal RNA". The stretch from base 1 to 120 matches the Rfam family "5.8S ribosomal RNA", at positions 35 to 154 of the family's 154-position model. The record is from RNAcentral.